RNAcentral lists this ribosomal RNA (422 nucleotides) under uncultured Flavobacterium sp. Its description in RNAcentral is "bacterial SSU rRNA". It matches the Rfam family "Bacterial small subunit ribosomal RNA", at positions 355 to 774 of the family's 1533-position model. Lineage: Bacteria; Pseudomonadati; Bacteroidota; Flavobacteriia; Flavobacteriales; Flavobacteriaceae. The record is from RNAcentral.
UGAGGAAUAUUGGACAAUGGGCGCAAGCCUGAUCCAGCCAUGCCGCGUGCAGGAAGAAGCAUCUAUGGUGUGUAAACUGCUUUUAUACAGGAAGAAACAACUCUACGUGUAGAGUCUUGACGGUACUGUAAGAAUAAGGACCGGCUAACUCCGUGCCAGCAGCCGCGGUAAUACGGAGGGUCCAAGCGUUAUCCGGAAUCAUUGGGUUUAAAGGGUCCGUAGGCGGUUUGGUAAGUCAGUGGUGAAAGCCCAUCGCUCAACGAUGGAACGGCCAUUGAUACUGCUAGACUUGAAUUAUUGUGAAGUAACUAGAAUAUGUAGUGUAGCGGUGAAAUGCUUAGAUAUUACAUGGAAUACCAAUUGCGAAGGCAGGUUACUAACAAUAUAUUGACGCUGAUGGACGAAAGCGUGGGGAGCGAACA